RNAcentral lists this ribosomal RNA (1010 nucleotides) under uncultured bacterium. RNAcentral's name for it is "bacterial SSU rRNA". It matches the Rfam family "Bacterial small subunit ribosomal RNA", at positions 8 to 1023 of the family's 1533-position model. The record is from RNAcentral.
AGAGUUUGAUCCUGGCUCAGGGUUAACGCUGGCGGCGCGCAUAACACAUGCAAGUCGAGCGAGGGCUCAUUCCCCGCAAGGGGAGUGGGUUCCUAGCGGCGAACGGGUGAGUAACACGUGGGCAACCUUUCCUAUCGCGGGGGAUAACAGCGGGAAACCGCUGCUAAUACCGCAUGUCGUCAUCGGUCGCAUGGCCGGUGAAGAAAGCAGCAAUGCACGAUGGGGUGGGCCCGCGGCCUAUCAGCUAGUCGGUGGGGUAACGGCCUACCGAGGCGAUGACGGGUAGCUGGUCUGAGAGGACGACCAGCCACACGGGGACUGAGACACGGCCCCGACUCCUACGGGAGGCAGCAGUGAGGAAUCUUCCGCAAUGGGCGAAAGCCUGACGGAGCGACGCCGCGUGUGGGAUGAAGUCCUUCGGGAUGUAAACCACUGUUGGAGGGGAAGACUUCGACGGUACCCUCCGAGAAAGCCCCGGCUAACUACGUGCCAGCAGCCGCGGUAAUACGUAGGGGGCUAGCGUUAUCCAGAUUUACUGGGCGUAAAGCGCGUGUAGGCGGCUGGUUAAGUGUGAUGUGAAAUCCUCGGGCUCAACCCGAGAACUGCAUUGCAAACUGGCCUGGCUAGAGUGCAGGAGAGGGAAGCGGAAUUCCAGGUGUAGCGGUGAAAUGCGUAGAUAUCUGGAGGAACACCAGUGGCGAAGGCGGCUUCCUGGCCUGUAACUGACGCUGAGACGCGAAAGCGUGGGGAGCGAACCGGAUUAGAUACCCGGGUAGUCCACGCCCUAAACGUUGCGAACUAGGUGUUGGUCGGAUUGACCCGAUCAGUGCCGCAGCUAACGCAUUAAGUUCGCCGCCUGGGGACUACGGCCGCAAGGUUAAAACUCAAAGGAAUAGGCGGGGGCCCGCACAAGCAGCGGAGCGUGUGGUUUAAUUCGAGGCAACGCGAAGAACCUUACCUGGGCUUGACAUGUAGAGGAAACGUCGUGAAAGCCGGCGCCCCCUCGCAGA